AUGAGGAAGCAUGUCUGCCUGUUAAUUGUCUAUCGCAUUUUCUAUUUUCUUCUUUAUUCUAGAUUGUAGCAGCAACCUUCCCUCUGGUUAAAUUGGAAGAAAGUGGCUGGAGAGAGCUCAGAUACAGAGCUGAAAACAAAGACAUCCAAACCUUGAGCGAUUUAGAAGAGGAAGAAGCCAAACUCUGUGCCAAAGGUUUGACUGCUGGGUUUACUCAUGGCUUCAGAUGAAGAGAAGCCCUGUACAAUAGCAUGGAGACCCUGAGGAUUGGAGAUAAUUUUUCUCCUUAUGCAUUUUCCCCUUCUUUGCAGAUGGAUGCACCAAGCAAAUGUCAGCUAGGGUACUGGGCUCAAGUCUUGACUUCCAGGUUUAGGCAGCUUUCCUCUAUCACUUCAAGGUACUUCUUUACAUGCUUAUGGGCUUCCACUGAACACAUUAACAAAGCUCCUGCCACUAGGCUUGUGGGAGUUGACGAGAUCACAGCCUAAGAAAAGUUAACACUAUUAAGAUAAGGACUUGAGAAUUGAACCUACUUACCAAAUUUGUUUCUCUUGUCAUUA
Long non-coding RNA from Pezoporus flaviventris, 560 nucleotides. RefSeq lists it as uncharacterized. NCBI's taxonomy places the organism in Eukaryota, Metazoa, Chordata, Aves, Psittaciformes, Psittacidae. The transcript has 4 exons. The record is from RefSeq and is a predicted model, not a curated record.